RNAcentral lists this non-coding RNA (194 nucleotides) under Candidatus Vecturithrix granuli. RNAcentral's name for it is "6S / SsrS RNA". It matches the Rfam family "6S / SsrS RNA". Rfam says of the family: E. coli 6S RNA was the first non coding RNA to be sequenced, but its function was unknown until recently. It consists of 184 nucleotides that fold into an extended hairpin structure with a large single-stranded internal bulge. Lineage: Bacteria; Candidatus Moduliflexota; Candidatus Vecturitrichia; Candidatus Vecturitrichales; Candidatus Vecturitrichaceae. The record is from Rfam by way of RNAcentral.
AUUCCCCUACCGUGUACGUGAUGAAGUAAAACUCUUGAGCCUACCAACUUCAAGAAUGGGAGUUUGAGCUGUAAUAUGACGUACAUGCCCUGGAUUCUCUGAAUUCAGGGACGUACAGAGUAUUCGCGAGAGCACCCACCUGGCUAUGCCAGGUUCAAAGAUUUUACUUCACACGGCAUUGUGGUGGGGGAAUG